UACGGAACGGGCAAGCGUUGUUUGGAAUUACUGGGCGUAAAGAGCGCGUAGGCGGCUUACCCAGUUGGGGGUGAAAGCCCGGAGCUCAACUCCGGAGCUGCCUUCAAAACAGGUACGCUCGAGUCCGGAAGAGGAGGGUGGAAUUCCAAGUGUAGAGGUGAAAUUCGUAGAUAUUGGGAAGAACACCGGUGGCGAAGGCGGCGCCCUGGACCGGCACUGACGCUGAGGCGAGAAAGCGUGGGGAGCAAACAGG
Molecule: ribosomal RNA, 253 nt
Filed under: uncultured bacterium
Lineage: Bacteria
Description: partial 16S ribosomal RNA
Rfam family: Bacterial small subunit ribosomal RNA
Source: RNAcentral